GACAGGUGGUGCAUGGUUGUCGUCAGCUCGUGUCGUGAGAUGUUGGGUUAAGUCCCGCAACGAGCGCAACCCUUAUCCUUAGUAGCCAGCAUGUUGAGGUGGGCACUCUAGGGAGACUGCCAGGGAUAACCUGGAGGAAGGCGGGGAUGACGUCAAAUCAUCAUGCCCCUUAUGAUUUGGGCUACACACGUGCUACAAUGGCGUAAACAAAGGGAGGCGAAGGAGCGAUCCGGAGCGAACCCCAAAAAUAACGUCUCAGUUCGGAUUGUAGUCUGCAACCCGACUACAUGAAGCUGGAAUCGCUAGUAAUCGCGGAUCAGAAUGCCGCGGUGAAUACGUUCCCGGGUCUUGUACACACCGCCCGUCACACCAUGGGAGUCGAUAACGCCCGAAGUCAGUGACCCAACCGAGAGGAGGGAGCUGCCGAAGGCGGGAUUGAUAACUGGGGUGAAGUCGUAACAAGGUAGCCGUAUCGGAAGGUGCGGCUGGAUCACCUCCUU
This 500-nucleotide ribosomal RNA is filed under the name uncultured bacterium. RNAcentral describes it as "bacterial SSU rRNA". It matches the Rfam family "Bacterial small subunit ribosomal RNA", at positions 1033 to 1532 of the family's 1533-position model. The record is from RNAcentral.